This 406-nucleotide ribosomal RNA is filed under the name uncultured bacterium. RNAcentral's name for it is "partial 16S ribosomal RNA". It matches the Rfam family "Bacterial small subunit ribosomal RNA", at positions 29 to 526 of the family's 1533-position model. The record is from RNAcentral.
AUUGAACGCUAGCGGGAGGCCUAACACAUGCAAGUCGAACGCGUGGCGGACGGGAGAGUAAUGAACGGGAAACUGCCCGAUGGAGGGGUAUAACUACGGGAAACGGAUGCCAACAACGCAAUACGCCGGAGGUGGCCAGAUGGGAUUAGCUAGUAGGUGUGGUAACGGCUCACCUAGACGACGAUCCCGCGCUGGUCUGAGAGGAUGACCAGCCAAACGGGAACUGAGACACGGACCAGACUCCUACGGGAGGCAGCAGUGGGGAAUUUUGCACAAUGGGCGCAAGCCUGAUGCAGCCAUUCCGCGUGUAUGAAGAAGGCCUUCGGGUUGUAAAGUACUUUCGGCGAGGAGGCGUUACUCGCAGAAGAAGCACCGGCUAACUCCGUGCCAGCAGCCGCGGUAAUUC